Molecule: ribosomal RNA, 245 nt
Filed under: uncultured Methylobacter sp.
Lineage: Bacteria; Pseudomonadati; Pseudomonadota; Gammaproteobacteria; Methylococcales; Methylococcaceae
Description: partial 16S ribosomal RNA
Rfam family: Bacterial small subunit ribosomal RNA
Source: RNAcentral
UACGGAGGGUGCGAGCGUUAAUCGGAAUUACUGGGCGUAAAGCGUGCGUAGGCGGUUCGUUAAGUCAGAUGUGAAAGCCCUGGGCUCAACCUGGGAACGGCAUUUGAAACUGGCGGACUAGAGUUUAGUAGAGGGGAGUGGAAUUUCAGGUGUAGCGGUGAAAUGCGUAGAUAUCUGAAGGAACACCAGUGGCGAAGGCGACUCCCUGGACUAGAACUGACGCUGAGGUACGAAAGCGUGGGUAG